RNAcentral lists this long non-coding RNA (2619 nucleotides) under Sus scrofa (pig). RNAcentral's name for it is "lncRNA (ENSSSCG00045029060.1)". Lineage: Eukaryota; Metazoa; Chordata; Mammalia; Artiodactyla; Suidae. The record is from RNAcentral.
AUGAGGCGGCCUCCCAGAAGUCAGUCAGACCCACCAUCGCCUCAUUUUCUCUCAGCUCAAGUUCCCUCAUGUGGUUUGAGUCAAGGAGCUAAUGAGCAGCGAGAGAGCAGCUCGGGCCUGAAGCAGGAGGCAGAAAGGAGAGGAAGAAGGGAGAUGCUGGGCUCCCUCGAGGCGGAGGAGACGGAGGCCGCCGCGCUGCUUGUUGGACCCCACGGAGGUGCCCUAUCUUUGUGGAUGAACUUGAGCCAAUCCUUGGUUCCCAGGGGCUCCCAGGGGCAGGAAACCCACCUGAAGUUGAAGGCUCCAGUAAGGUAAGCACUAUAGGUUUGACAGGUGAUAUUGCUCCCACUUUCAGAUGAUGACAUUCAGGACAGAGGGGUUCUUUGGUCAGCAAGAGUCAGUGCCAAUGAUGAUAAGUGAUGUUCUUGUGAUGGGUACUAUGCGGGCAUUGUUCUCAGCAUCCUUUUUUUUUUUUCUUUCCAAUUUUAUUGGCAUAUAGCAUGGUAUCAGCCCAAGGUGUAAAGCAUAAUGCUUUGGUACCUAUAUAUAGUUGCUUUUCUUAUGAUGAGAACUUUUAAGGAUUUACUCUCUUAAUAACUUUCAAAUAUACAAUAGAGUAUUAUUAACUCUAGUUACCGUGCCAUACAUUACAUCUCUAGAAAUUGUUAUAAUGAAGUUUAUAACUUUUGACCAUCUUCACUCUUUUUUCUCCUCCCUCACCUCUGCCUCUGCCAACCCCCAAACUGUUCUCUGUAUCUGUGAAUUUGGUUUUUUAGAUUCCACAUAUAAGUGAGAUCAUACAGUAUUUUGUCUUUUUCUGUUUUCUUAUUUCAUGUAGUACAACAACCUCCAGGUUUAUCUGUAUCGUCACAAAUGGCAGAAUUUUGUUCUUUUUUAUGGCUGAAUAAUAUUCCACUCUAUACAAAUACCAUAUCUUCUUUAUCCAUUCACCUGUCGAUGGACACUUAGGUUGUUUGUAUGUCUUGGCUGUGCUGCUAUAAAUGUGGGGGUGCAGAUAUCUUUUUGAGACAGUGAUUUCAUUUCCUUGUGCUCAGCAUCUUAUUUGAAUUAUGUCCUCCCUGUGAUGUUGGCACUUGAAUGAUCCCCAUUUUAUAGCUAGGUUAACUGAGACAAGAGAGUUUAAGUUACCUGUUUAAGGUUACAAAGCAUAUGUGAUGGUGCUGGAAUUCAAUUCCAGGUAGUCUGACAUCAGAGCAGGUAUCUGACCACCAUGCUUCUUUGAGUUCAACACCAGCCAGGUCUUCUGAUUCUAAGCCCACCCUUCUUUCCAAUACAUUGUAACAGUCAGUUCUUGGCAUACAAAUGUCAAAUAUCAAGCCAAUAAUUUCGUAUGUAAGGAUUUCAAAGGUGUACCUCUGGGGAGCCUAUGAUCUCAGCCACACUGUAGGAAAUAAAUUGCUGGGGUUUAGUAUCUUCAAUUCAAAUCACAAACACAGGAUUAGCAGUGGGGCAGAAGUAUUAGUAAAAAUUCAUCUUAUUAAAUGAACAUCUGUUUCCUGGAAUUUGACAGCAUUCCCAAACACACAUGGCUAGGCUGGGAUGGCUCAACUGAGAAAGUUUAAGUUUAUUUUCUAAUGAGAAUUUCUUAGUUAUAAAAACUAUAGAGAUGAAGUCAGUGGACAAGCAGUCUACAUUUUAGUACCCCUAAAAAAAGAAAGCAUUAUUUUAUCUGCCCGACUCUAGAGCCAUUGUAUCGUUCCCCAGCCAAUAAGACACAGAUAGAUUGGGCAAGGAUAUCUAAGGCAUUUAGUGGAUAAAAGGCAGAGAAGUGGGCAUGGUCCAGACUAUUAGAAAAUGCCACUACCUUUCUUCUGCUUUUGGGAUUGGGGUUGAAUCCCACAGUAGACUGACUGCAAAAAAAUGUCUGCAGCUCUUCCAGCACUUGCAGUGUGACUCUGCCAACCAUCAGGAGAUGGAGUCUAUUUCCCCACCCCUUCAAUCUGGGGGCUGCCUUCUGACUUACUUGCCAGUAGAAUGUGACAGAGAGAUGCUAUAAUUAGGGUCUUGCAUGCUUCUUCUCUCUUGUUCCUCUGCCUUUACCACGAGGACAAUUCUGAACUAGGCUGCUGGGGGAUGAGACUCUGGAGCAGAGCUGAGUCACCCGAGAUCAGCCAUCGCCAGAACACUCUCCACCCAGUGGCAGAUACAUGAGCAAGCCCAGCUGACAUCAUCUGAGCCCAUCCCAGAUCAGCGUAGUUAUUCUGCCAGUUCCUAAAUCCAUGAGAAGUCGUAAAUGGUUGUGGUUUUAAGCCACUUACUAUCGGGCUUAUUUGUUAUGCAGCAUUAUUAUGGCAACAGAUAAUUGAUAAAAGCACUAAAAGCAAAUCUCAUCAGUGACAGGACAUCUGUUCUCCAUCACACUCCCUUUCCUGCGUCCCUCCUUGCUUGUUUGGCAUUUGCUUCCAUUAGUGGCUGCAGCCCCAGCCUCACCCAGGUCCAUAGAAAAUGUGAAGUCAGGCCAUGAGUUACCUAUGUGAGAAAGGUGGCCAAUGCUUAUGUCACACACUCGUGCUCCCUCAGCCUAGAAAACCAAGUCCCCACUGUGGAAGACGUCCAGACCUUCCUCCCUGGUUCCCAUUAUGCUCUUACUCUCAUCCG